GUAGGGAAUUUUGCGCAAUGGGGGAAACCCUGACGCAGCAACGCCAUGUGUGGGAUGAAGCAUUUAGGUGUGUAAACCACUGUCGCCAGGGAAUAAGGUAGGUAUAGACCUGAUUGAUGGUACCUCCAGAGGAAGCCACGGCUAACUCUGUGCCAGCAGCCGCGGUAAUACAGAGGUGGCGAGCGUUGUUCGGAUUUACUGGGCGUAAAGCGCACGUAGGCGGUAUGUUAAGUUGGAUGUGAAAGCCCCGGGCUCAACCUGGGAAUUGCAUUCAAAACUGGCAUGCUAGAGUAUGUGAGAGGGGGGUAGAAUUCCAAGUGUAGCGGUGAAAUGCGUAGAGAUUUGGAGGAAUACCAGUGGCGAAGGCGGCCCCCUGGCACAAUACUGACGCUGAGGUGCGAAAGCGUGGGGAGCAAACAGGAUUAGAUACCCGUGUAGUCC
This 441-nucleotide ribosomal RNA is filed under the name uncultured bacterium. Its description in RNAcentral is "bacterial SSU rRNA". It matches the Rfam family "Bacterial small subunit ribosomal RNA", at positions 354 to 796 of the family's 1533-position model. The record is from RNAcentral.